This 261-nucleotide ribosomal RNA is filed under the name uncultured bacterium. Its description in RNAcentral is "partial small subunit ribosomal RNA". It matches the Rfam family "Bacterial small subunit ribosomal RNA", at positions 26 to 286 of the family's 1533-position model. The record is from RNAcentral.
AGGACGAACGCUGGCGGCGUGCUUAACACAUGCAAGUCGAGCGGAAAGGCCCUUCGGGGUACUCGAGCGGCGAACGGGUGAGUAACACGUGGGCAACCUGCCCUUACGCUCUGGGAGUAGCUCCGGGAAACCGGAAGUUAAUACCGGAUAUGACCUAGGCCGACAUCGGUCCGUGGUGGAAAAGUUUUUCGGCUAGGGAUGGACUCGCGGCCUAUCAGCUAGUUGGUGGGGUAAUGGGCCUACCAAGGCGACGACGGGUAG